Molecule: transfer RNA, 77 nt
Filed under: Symbiodinium sp. clade D
Lineage: Eukaryota; Dinophyceae; Suessiales; Symbiodiniaceae
Rfam family: tRNA
About the family: Transfer RNA (tRNA) molecules are approximately 80 nucleotides in length. Their secondary structure includes four short double-helical elements and three loops (D, anti-codon, and T loops).
Source: RNAcentral
AGAGUGGUGAAAUUGGUAGACACGCUAGAUUUAGGAUCUAGUGCCGCAAGGCGUAAGGGUUCAAGUCCCUUCUCUCG